This 305-nucleotide ribosomal RNA is filed under the name uncultured bacterium. RNAcentral describes it as "bacterial SSU rRNA". It matches the Rfam family "Bacterial small subunit ribosomal RNA", at positions 338 to 641 of the family's 1533-position model. The record is from RNAcentral.
CCUACGGGGGGCAGCAGUGAGGAAUAUUGGUCAAUGGCCGGGAGGCUGAACCAGCCAAGUCGCGUGAGGGAAGACGGCCCUACGGGUUGUAAACCUCUUUUGUCAGGGAGCAAGGUGCAGGUCGGGACCUGCUGUGAGAGUACCUGAAGAAAAAGCAUCGGCUAACUCCGUGCCAGCAGCCGCGGUAAUACGGAGGAUGCGAGCGUUAUCCGGAUUUAUUGGGUUUAAAGGGUGCGCAGGCGGAGGCACAAGUCAGCGGUAAAAUCGCGGGGCUCAACCCCGCUCCGCCGUUGAAACUGUGUCCC